GAGAGUCCCCUCCUGGAUCAGCAGGCAAAGACGCAAACAUGGAGGGUAAGAGAACAGAGCUCACUGGGUGUCAGCUGUCCAAAUAUGGAGCAGAAUGAGACGAGGGGAUGGCAGAGGAGAGACUACAGCCCUUUCAGACAGGUCCACCCUCGCAGGACUACUAAAGGCAUGCUUUUCAGGCAGCCUUUUGUUUCAGGGACCCACAAUGGCACCCCAGAGCCCUCUUAGCCCCAUACCUGCCCUCCAGUUUGUACCUGAGUCCCUGUGGCCUCCCCUGUCAGUCACAUCUCUGCCCUGGGCCCUCCGACCUGUCCUAUGAAGGCUGACUUCACAGAGUCUGGAUGACCUCACUGUCUGACACCAAUAGGUGGCAGAUCAACCACUACAGAGAUAUCUGUCCAGAGGUGUGGACAUGUUUGGAAAAGGGGGUCUGGUCCAAGUGCUGGAAAAGAGAUUCUGGCUGGAAGAAAGAAUUAUGUUCUAAAAAGAAUGGCAAAGAACUUUGUUCUCAGAGAUGUCAUACCUAGCCUCGGCAGCCUGAAGACAGCUGUUUUCUGUUAGUCUACAGAAGCAUAUGGCUUUCCACGCUCUGUUUAUUCUUCCCUGGGUUAAAUUGCUAUGGCAUCGUCUCACUUCUCCUAAUGGGCCGUGUCCAGCAUCUGCACGGUUACAAAUGGGCAUGCUCAUUUGUGGAUUUAUGGAGCUUGAAUAACGUCAGGACUGUGUCAGACCUGCUGCCCCACGCAGGACGGAGAGAAGCAGGGCCAUUGCUGGCGCACAAAUUCGAUGAAUUCACAGAGCAAGGGAAAUUAGUGAAGCCGGUCCAGCGUCUCCUCUGCAUUCCUGUGUGCUUUCCCCCGCCUGUCCACCAUGAGGCAGCCUUCAAACAAGAGGAAAUAAAGACACCAAGUUCCUCUGAGCCAUUUUAUGGCACCCAUCAGAAGACCAACAGGGAAGAAGAAAAUGCCACUCAAACCUGGCCUUUGUGGCGCUUUGAAUGAGCGUGUUCAACAAGGCAGUAAGUGGGCUGCUUCGGAGUUUUUACCCGGGCGAGAUAAGGUGACACAAGAGAAAUUCCUUCCGUGUUUCUAUGGAUGCCCAGCAACCCAGGAUCCAGGGCUGCUUUUGAAAGCCGGGGCAAAGUAAUAUCCUCCACUAGAAAGGAUGUUCUUAUCUGAUUGGGCCUGCAAGAUGGGGAGGUUUCCUCUCUCUCCUGCCACGAGAAGGAGGAGGCUGUGCAGUCAGUGCUGGGGCCUGAGUGAGAGAAGUGGAUGAGGUGGAAAAGGCUGUUUGCAAGGAGGAAAAGGAGCCCAGAACUGCCAACAUUCUGCAUGCUGGACCUUGCCUGCUCGAAAUCUUGGGGGGCUAGGAUGACCUUGGCAUCCCGGCAGGGUUACCAAGAGUUCCUUCCUACAGCACAGUUACCCCAGGAGUCUGCGUUCUCCUCCUGAUGCUGACCUCAGCACAGUGUCGAUCAGCCUUUACCGUCUCCACCACAAGUAAACCCCAGGGCUCUAUCAGCCACCUGUCUACAACCUUCACACUUAAGAAAUGCAAAUAUUUAACCAGGAGAUAAGGGCACUGGUUUGUUCGGCAUAUUAGUGUAGUUUUGUCUUUUUAAGGAAGUUAUGAUUUUCAAGACCACACAUCUCUAACUGUAUCAGCCACCUAAUGCACUGAUAAAAUCUGAUGCUGUAGGGUAUGAAGCGACAGAGUUAGAGAUAAACACUUUGAUUUCUAACCCACUUCCCUCUUUGCACAAUCGUUUCCCUCCUACACGGCCCUCCGUUAUGCCAAAUAUUAAAUGGGUCAUUCCCAUCUGUGUUAUUCAGCACAGAUUGAAAUCUCCACCACCACUGCCUUCAUACUGAAAGUCUGAGAAGCCGAGACUAACCUCAUUUCAAGG
This is a long non-coding RNA of Equus caballus (horse), 1906 nucleotides long. NCBI's taxonomy places the organism in Eukaryota, Metazoa, Chordata, Mammalia, Perissodactyla, Equidae. The record is from Ensembl.